Molecule: ribosomal RNA, 253 nt
Filed under: uncultured bacterium
Lineage: Bacteria
Description: partial 16S ribosomal RNA
Rfam family: Bacterial small subunit ribosomal RNA
Source: RNAcentral
UACAGAGGGGGCAAGCGUUGUUCGGAAUUACUGGGCGUAAAGGGCGCGUAGGCGGCCGCCUAAGUCAGACGUGAAAUCCCCAGGCUCAACCUGGGAACUGCGUCUGAUACUGGAUGGCUUGAAUCCGGGAGAGGGAUGCAGAAUUCCAGGUGUAGCGGUGAAAUGCGUAGAUAUCUGGAGGAAUACCGGUGGCGAAGGCGGCAUCCUGGACCGAGAUUGACACUGAUGAGCGAAAGCUAGGGGAGCAAACGGG